UGACUGCGGAGGAUCAUUAUUG
Molecule: ribosomal RNA, 22 nt
Filed under: Laccaria trichodermophora
Lineage: Eukaryota; Fungi; Basidiomycota; Agaricomycetes; Agaricales; Hydnangiaceae
Description: partial 18S ribosomal RNA
Source: RNAcentral